UCGAACCUGCCCAGCAGAACGACCCGUGAACAUGUUCAUAAAACGAGCGGUCCAAAGCCGGCAAUUGCUAGCAUUGGCCAUUCAUAAGGCCUGGAUCAAGGUAAUUUGGUGUGAAGGCAACGCUUUCCCCCAACGUGCCUUAGUUUAGGCCUACUAACAAACCCCCGGCGCGGAAAGCGCCAAGGAAUUGCAAACAAAAAGAUCGGUCGCCCCGAUUGCCCCGGAAACGGUGUGCAAAAGGGAUGUGCCGUGAUUUGAGAAUCUAAACGACUCUCGGCAACGGAUAUCUCGGCUCUCGCAUCGAUGAAGAACGCAGCGAAAUGCGAUACUUGGUGUGAAUUGCAGGAUCCCGCGAACCAUCGAGUUUUUGAACGCAAGUUGCGCCCGAAGCCUUUUGGCCGAGGGCACGUCUGCCUGGGUGUCACUCAACGUCGCCCCAACCCCCUUCCUUUUGGAAUGGGGGGCGGAAUAUGGCCUCCCGUGUGCUAAUGCUUGCGGUUGGCCCAAAUGUCCGGUCCUCGGCAUAGAUGCCACAGCAAUCGGUGGUUGUACGACCCUCGCUACAUGCUGUGAGCGUUCUAGUGCUGACGUGGCCUACGAGUCCCCAAAGCGUAUCGGAAGAUGCGCUCGAAAUGCGACC
This 640-nucleotide ribosomal RNA is filed under the name Euphorbia sp. Medel 11-144. RNAcentral describes it as "eukaryotic LSU rRNA". The stretch from base 269 to 424 matches the Rfam family "5.8S ribosomal RNA". The record is from RNAcentral. Lineage: Eukaryota; Viridiplantae; Streptophyta; Magnoliopsida; Malpighiales; Euphorbiaceae.